UCUACGGGAGGCAGCAGUGGGGAAUCUUCCGCAAUGGGCGAAAGCCUGACGGAGCAACGCCGCGUGAUCGAAUGAAGGCCUUCGGGUUGUAAACUUCUUUUAAGGGGGAAGAGCAGAAGACGGUACCCCUUGAAUAAGCCACGGCUAACUACGUGCCAGCAGCCGCGGUAAUACGUAGGUGGCAAGCGUUGUCCGGAUUUACUGGGUGUAAAGGGCGUGCAGCCGGGAAGACAAGUCAGAUGUGAAAUCCCGCGGCUCAACCGCGGAACUGCAUUUGAAACUGUUUUUCUUGAGUAUCGGAGAGGUAAUCGGAAUUCCUAGUGUAGCGGUGAAAUGCGUAGAUAUUAGGAAGAACACCAGUGGCGAAGGCGGAUUACUGGACGACAACUGACGGUGAGGCGCGAAAGCGUGGGGAGCAAACAGGAUUAGAUACCCUGUAGUC
RNAcentral lists this ribosomal RNA (442 nucleotides) under uncultured bacterium. RNAcentral's name for it is "partial 16S ribosomal RNA". It matches the Rfam family "Bacterial small subunit ribosomal RNA", at positions 338 to 795 of the family's 1533-position model. The record is from RNAcentral.